GAAAUCCGAUAAGUAGUGUGAAUUGCAGAAUUCAGUGAAUCAUCGAAUCUUUGAACGCACAUUGCGCCCCUUGGUAUUCCAUGGGGCAUGCCUGUUCGAGCGUCAUUUGUACCCUCAAGCUCUGCUUGGUGUUGGGUGUUUGUCCCCGUCUCCGCGCGUGGACUCGCCCCAAAGUGAUUGGCAGCCGGCGUACUGGUCCCGGAGCGCAGCACAUGUCGCGCAAACGAGUGCCUUGGUACGGCGGCGUCCAUAAGCCCCUCUCUCACGCUCUUGACCUCGGAUCAGGUAGGGAUACCCGCUGAACUUAAGC
RNAcentral lists this unclassified non-coding RNA (310 nucleotides) under plant metagenome. RNAcentral's name for it is "partial contains 5.8S ribosomal RNA, internal transcribed spacer 2, and large subunit ribosomal RNA". The stretch from base 1 to 105 matches the Rfam family "5.8S ribosomal RNA", at positions 50 to 154 of the family's 154-position model. The record is from RNAcentral.